This 433-nucleotide ribosomal RNA is filed under the name uncultured bacterium. RNAcentral describes it as "partial 16S ribosomal RNA". It matches the Rfam family "Bacterial small subunit ribosomal RNA", at positions 29 to 507 of the family's 1533-position model. The record is from RNAcentral.
AGCGAACGCUGGCGGCAGGCUUAACACAUGCAAGUCGAGCGGGCACUUCGGUGUCAGCGGCAGACGGGUGAGUAACACGUGGGAACGUACCCUUCGGUUCGGAAUAACGCUGGGAAACUAGCGCUAAUACCGGAUACGCCUUCUUGGGGAAAGGUUUACUGCCGAAGGAUCGGCCCGCGUCUGAUUAGCUAGUUGGUGGGGUAAUGGCCUACCAAGGCGACGAUCAGUAGCUGGUCUGAGAGGAUGAUCAGCCACACUGGGACUGAGACACGGCCCAGACUCCUACGGGAGUCAGCAGUAGGGAAUAUUGGACAAUGGGCGCAAGCCUGAUCCAGCCAUGCCGCGUGAAUGAUGAAGGCCUUAGGGUUGUAAAGCUCUUUUGUCCGGGACGAUAAUGACGGUACCGGAAGAAUAAGCCCCGGCUAACUUCGUG